RNAcentral lists this ribosomal RNA (253 nucleotides) under uncultured bacterium. RNAcentral's name for it is "partial 16S ribosomal RNA". It matches the Rfam family "Bacterial small subunit ribosomal RNA", at positions 524 to 776 of the family's 1533-position model. The record is from RNAcentral.
UACGUAGGGACCAAGCGUUGUUCGGAUUUACUGGGCGUAAAGCGCACGUAGGCGGCGAUUUAAGUCAGAGGUGAAAGCCCGGGGCUCAACCCCGGAAUAGCCUUUGAGACUGGAUUGCUAGAAUCUUGGAGAGGCGAGUGGAAUUCCGAGUGUAGAGGUGAAAUUCGUAGAUAUUCGGAAGAACACCAGUGGCGAAGGCGGCUCGCUGGACAAGUAUUGACGCUGAGGUGCGAAAGCGUGGGGAGCAAACAGG